This is a long non-coding RNA of Xyrauchen texanus (razorback sucker), 366 nucleotides long. RefSeq lists it as uncharacterized. The record is from RefSeq and is a predicted model, not a curated record. NCBI's taxonomy places the organism in Eukaryota, Metazoa, Chordata, Actinopteri, Cypriniformes, Catostomidae. The transcript has 4 exons.
GUCCGGGAUUCGGCAAUAAAUAUCCUUGGAUUCAUGACACACAGAAACUCGGAGGAGAGCAAGAGCACAGAUCAAGAGUGAAGCGCACUUGCUUUGGGAGGAGGAUUUGACAGAAACAUCCACAUGACAUCAUGAGUUUUUCACUGACACUGUUGCUGCUUCUACCUGCUCUAUACUGUGCUGCAGAUAAUACAGUUUUGCAUCACAGACAGAAGCGAGAUUCACUCCUUUAUAAUGAGGUUUGUGUGGACAGCCAUUCGGCCGUGGUCAGGGACAUCGGGGUGACUUGGUUGCGAUGGAAGGGUCUGAAAGUGGAAUUCUGCCGCUGCGCAUCACGAGGAAGAGUGCAGUGUAAAGAAAUACCAG